Molecule: ribosomal RNA, 378 nt
Filed under: Lepidoderma trevelyanii
Lineage: Eukaryota; Evosea; Eumycetozoa; Physariida; Didymiaceae
Description: SSU rRNA
Rfam family: Eukaryotic small subunit ribosomal RNA
Source: RNAcentral
UCUCUCUGAAUCUGCGAACGGCUCCGCAAACCAGUUGUAAACUAUAGCAAGCAAUCCUGUGGUUGGGCUUCGGCCCGGCCAUGGGUAACAUGGAUAACCCUGGUAAUUCUGAGGCUAAUACAAGAACGUACAACCUGGCUGACCGGCAACGGAAGGCUGGGGAACGUGCAACGUAUCGUAAUGGAUACCAGGAAAGGGUGCACGUUUGGACCGCGCUAAAGACAGUCCUUGGUGAGCCCUCACGGGCAAGCCUUGGCCUGAGCGGCUCUUGCGGUGUGCUUCUGACCUAUCAACUAGACGGCAGCGUAAGGGACAUGCUAUGGUUACAACGGGUACAGAGGAUAAGGGUUCGAUCCUGGAGAGUGGGCCUGAGAGAUU